UAUAUAAAGCAUGCUGAGGCAGCGGCGCGUCAUUUCUGGCACUUAUGUGUGGGUGUGGGGAGCUACUACGUACCCGGCUUAAAGAACUGGAAGGCUCCGUCACUUUUCGCCCCCUGGAGCCUGGAGCUUGGAGCCUGGAGCCUGGGGCACUCCCUCCCUGUUGGUGGUGGUGGUGACGGAGCGGUAGGAGGGAGGCUAGCAGCGAGAGCUUCUCCUGCCGGGCUGGAAGACAGAAAGAAGAGGCACCGCCGCGUGCUGGAGGCUGGAGCCGGAGCUUGCGCCUCCGCGGCUCGCCUCGCUGCGGUUGGUGGUGAAAUCAGAGACCGCAGCUCGGCCACAGUGGUAGAAAUGUGGUAGGGUAGGUUUCUCUGGCUUUGCCUGCGCAACUGCUCCCAGCCAGGCUGGAGGAGGAGGAGGAGUCACCUGUGGUAUGCUGGAGCCUGUAGAUGGCGUGGCUCUGCAGCUUGCCUCAUGAGGUUGGUGGCAGC
RNAcentral lists this long non-coding RNA (488 nucleotides) under Homo sapiens (human). RNAcentral describes it as "non-protein coding lnc-FBP2-1:1". The record is from RNAcentral. Lineage: Eukaryota; Metazoa; Chordata; Mammalia; Primates; Hominidae.